RNAcentral lists this ribosomal RNA (429 nucleotides) under Actinomycetes bacterium. RNAcentral describes it as "Actinobacteria bacterium partial 16S ribosomal RNA". It matches the Rfam family "Bacterial small subunit ribosomal RNA", at positions 355 to 776 of the family's 1533-position model. The record is from RNAcentral. Lineage: Bacteria; Bacillati; Actinomycetota; Actinomycetes.
UAGGGAAUCUUCCGCAAUGGGCGAAAGCCUGACGGAGCAACGCCGCGUGAGUGAUGAAGGUCUUCGGAUCGUAAAACUCUGUUAUUAGGGAAGAACAAAUGUGUAAGUAACUAUGCACGUCUUGACGGUACCUAAUCAGAAAGCCACGGCUAACUACGUGCCAGCAGCCGCGGUAAUACGUAGGUGGCAAGCGCUAUCCGGAAUUAUUGGGCGUAAAGCGCGCGUAGGCGGUUUUUUAAGUCUGAUGUGAAAGCCCACGGCUCAACCGUGGAGGGUCAUUGGAAACUGGAAAACUUGAGUGCAGAAGAGGAAAGUGGAAUUCCAUGUGUAGCGGUGAAAUGCGCAGAGAUAUGGAGGAACACCAGUGGCGAAGGCGACUUUCUGGUCUGUAACUGACGCUGAUGUGCGAAAGCGUGGGGAUCAAACAGG